GUGGGGAAUUUUGGACAAUGGGCGCAAGCCUGAUCCAGCAAUGCCGCGUGCAGGAAGAAGGCCUUCGGGUUGUAAACUGCUUUUGUACGGAACGAAACGGUCCGGGUUAAUACCCUGGGCUAAUGACGGUACCGUAAGAAUAAGCACCGGCUAACUACGUGCCAGCAGCCGCGGUAAUACGUAGGGUGCAAGCGUUAAUCGGAAUUACUGGGCGUAAAGCGUGCGCAGGCGGUUUUGUAAGACAGGCGUGAAAUCCCCGGGCUCAACCUGGGAAUUUCGCUUGUGACUGCAAGGCUGGAGUGCGGCAGAGGGGGAUGGAAUUCCGCGUGUAGCAGUGAAAUGCGUAGAUAUGCGGAGGAACACCGAUGGCGAAGGCAAUCCCCUGAGCCUGCACUGACGCUCAUGCACGAAAGCGUGGGGAGCAAACAGGAUUAGAUACCCGAGUAGUCC
This 450-nucleotide ribosomal RNA is filed under the name uncultured bacterium. RNAcentral's name for it is "partial 16S ribosomal RNA". It matches the Rfam family "Bacterial small subunit ribosomal RNA", at positions 354 to 796 of the family's 1533-position model. The record is from RNAcentral.